This 408-nucleotide ribosomal RNA is filed under the name Halomonas sp. DN19. Its description in RNAcentral is "bacterial SSU rRNA". It matches the Rfam family "Bacterial small subunit ribosomal RNA", at positions 460 to 867 of the family's 1533-position model. The record is from RNAcentral. Lineage: Bacteria; Pseudomonadati; Pseudomonadota; Gammaproteobacteria; Oceanospirillales; Halomonadaceae.
UCUCGAGGAAGGACAUCACCCACAGAAGAAGCACUGGCUAACUCCGUGCCAGCAGCCGCGGUAAUACGGAGGGUGCGAGCGUUAAUCGGAAUUACUGGGCGUAAAGCGCGCGUAGGCGGUCUGAUAAGCCGGUUGUGAAAGCCCCGGGCUCAACCUGGGAACGGCAUCCGGAACUGUCAGGCUAGAGUGCAGGAGAGGAAGGUAGAAUUCCCGGUGUAGCGGUGAAAUGCGUAGAGAUCGGGAGGAAUACCAGUGGCGAAGGCGGCCUUCUGGACUGACACUGACGCUGAGGUGCGAAAGCGUGGGUAGCAAACAGGAUUAGAUACCCUGGUAGUCCACGCCGUAAACGAUGUCGACUAGCCGUUGGGGUCCUUGAGACCUUUGUGGCGCAGUUAACGCGAUAAGUCG